This 950-nucleotide ribosomal RNA is filed under the name uncultured archaeon. RNAcentral describes it as "bacterial SSU rRNA". It matches the Rfam family "Archaeal small subunit ribosomal RNA", at positions 43 to 999 of the family's 1478-position model. The record is from RNAcentral.
UCUAAGCCAUGCGAGUCAUUGUAGCAAUACAAGGCAGACGGCUCAGUAACGCGUAGUCAAUCUACCCUAUGGACGGGAAUAACCUCGGGAAACUGAGAAUAAUGCCCGAUAGAACAUUAUGCCUGGAAUGGUUUAUGUUUCAAAUGAUUUAUCGCCAUAGGAUGGGACUGCGGCCUAUCAGUUUGUUGGUGAGGUAAUGGCCCACCAAGACUAUUACAGGUACGGGCUCUGAGAGGAGUAGCCCGGAGAUGGGUACUGAGACACGGACCCAGGCCCUAUGGGGCGCAGCAGGCGAGAAAACUUUGCAAUGUGCGAAAGCACGACAAGGUUAAUCCGAGUGGUUUCUGCUAAAGAAACCUUUUGUCAGUCCUAGAAACACUAACGAAUAAGGGGUGGGCAAGUUCUGGUGUCAGCCGCCGCGGUAAAACCAGCACCUCAAGUGGUCAGGAUGAUUAUUGGGCCUAAAGCAUCCGUAGCUCGUUUUGUAAGUUUUCGGUUAAAUCCAUGCGCUUAACGUAUGGGCUGCCGGGAAUACUGCAUAACUAGGAAGUGGGAGAGGUAGACGGUACUCGGUAGGAAGGGGUAAAAUCCUUUGAUCUAUUGAUGACCACCUGUGGCGAAGGCGGUCUACCAGAACACGUUCGACGGUGAGGGAUGAAAGCUGGGGGAGCAAACCGGAUUAGAUACCCGGGUAGUCCCAGCUGUAAACUAUGCAAACUCAGUGAUGCAUUGGCUUGUGGCCAAUGCAGUGCUGCAGGGAAGCCGUUAAGUUUGCCGCCUGGGAAGUACGUACGCAAGUAUGAAACUUAAAGGAAUUGGCGGGGGAGCACCACAAGGGGUGAAGCCUGCGGUUCAAUUGGAGUCAACGCCAGAAAUCUUACCCGGAGAGACAGCAGAAUGAAGGUCAAGCUGAAGACUUUACCAGACAAGCUGAGAGGUGGUGCAUGGCC